RNAcentral lists this ribosomal RNA (1356 nucleotides) under uncultured marine eukaryote. Its description in RNAcentral is "SSU rRNA". It matches the Rfam family "Eukaryotic small subunit ribosomal RNA", at positions 411 to 1779 of the family's 1831-position model. The record is from RNAcentral.
CACUUCUAAGGAAGGCAGCAGGCGCGCAAAUUACCCAAUCCUGACUCAGGGAGGUAGUGACAAGAAAUAACAAUAAACCGGCUUAUGCCGGUUUAAUUGGAAUGAGUACAAUUUAAACAUCUUAACGAGGAACAAUUGGAGGGCAAGUCUGGUGCCAGCAGCCGCGGUAAUUCCAGCUCCAAUAGCGUAUACUAAAGUUGUUGCAGUUAAAAAGCUCGUAGUUGGAUUUCUGUGGGGACGGAGCGGCCGGCCGCACAUCGCGGUUCGAGCUAGCGCUUUCCCUACAUCCUGCCGCGAACCGUGCUACCAUUAAUUUGGUGGCGCCGGGGAUCGGCUCGAUUACUUUGAGAAAAAUAGAGUGUUCAAAGCAGGCCACAUGCCUUGAAUAAGUUAGCAUGGAAUAAUAACUAAGGACUUCGGUUCUAUUUUGUUGGUGUUCGGGACUGAAGUAAUGAUUGAUAGGGACAGUUGGGGCGGUCUGUAUUCCAAAGCGAGAGGUGAAAUUCUUAGACCUUCGGAAGACAAACAGCUGCGAAAGCGUUCCGCAAGGAUGUUCCCUUUGAUCAAGAACGAAAGUUGGGGGAUCGAAGACAAUCAGAUACCGUCGUAGUCUCAACUAUAAACUAUACCAGCUAGGGAUCGGCCAACGUUAUUUUAUACCGACUUGGUCGGCACCUUAUGAGAAAUCAAAGCAUCUGGGUUCCGGGGGGAGUAUGGUCGCAAGGCUGAAACUUAAAGGAAUUGACGGAAGGGCACCACCAGCCGUGGAGCCUGUGGCUUAAUUUGACUCAACACGGGAAAACUUACCAGGUCCGGACAUAGUAAGGAUUGACAGAUUGAUAGCUCUUUCUUGAUUCUGUGGGUGGUGGUGCAUGGCCGUUCUUAGUUGGUGGAGUGAUUUGUCUGGUUAAUUCCGUUAACGAACGAGACCCCAGCCUGCUAAAUAGCGCGAGUGAGCUUUGCUCGCCGCGAGCUUCUUAGAGGGACUAUGAUGCGCGAUAGCACAUGGAAGUUUGGGGCAAUAACAGGUCUGUGAUGCCCUUAGAUGUUCUGGGCCGCACACGGGCUACACUGGCGCCUGCAACGAGCAUAUCAGCUGGCCCGAGAGGGUCUUGGCUAAUCUUUUGAACCGGCGCCGUGCUUGGGAUUGACCUUUGCAAUUGUUGGUCAUGCAACGAGGAAUGCCUUGUAAACGCGAGUCAUCAGCUCGCAUUGAAUACGUCCCUGCCCUUUGUACACACCGCCCGUCGCUCCUACCGAUGAAUGUUCCGAUGAAAUUUUCGGAGAGCACCUGUGAACUUGGCUCUGCCUUGCGAACGGGAGGCUCAAAGUCACUUAAAUCUGAACAUUUCGAGG